This 426-nucleotide ribosomal RNA is filed under the name Brucella melitensis. Its description in RNAcentral is "partial 16S ribosomal RNA". It matches the Rfam family "Bacterial small subunit ribosomal RNA", at positions 355 to 774 of the family's 1533-position model. The record is from RNAcentral. Lineage: Bacteria; Pseudomonadati; Pseudomonadota; Alphaproteobacteria; Hyphomicrobiales; Brucellaceae. RNAcentral also lists the same sequence under 4 other names.
UCGAGAAUUUUUGACAAUGGGGGAAACCCUGAUCGAGCGACGCCGCGUGGAGGAUGAAGGUCUUCGGAUUGUAAACUCCUGUCAUUUGGGAACAAGGUGCACACGUUAACUGCGUGCGUAUUGAUAGUACCAGAAGAGGAAGAGACGGCUAACUCUGUGCCAGCAGCCGCGGUAAUACAGAGGUCUCAAGCGUUGUUCGGAUUCAUUGGGCGUAAAGGGUGCGUAGGCGGCGCGGUAAGUCGGGUGUGAAAUCUCGGAGCUUAACUCCGAAACUGCAUUCGAUACUGCCGUGCUUGAGGACUGGAGAGGAGACUGGAAUUUACGGUGUAGCGGUGAAAUGCGUAGAUAUCGUAAGGAAGACCAGUGGCGAAGGCGGGUCUCUGGACAGUUCCUGACGCUGAGGCACGAAGGUCAGGGGAGCAAACG